This 229-nucleotide unclassified non-coding RNA is filed under the name Hevea brasiliensis (rubber tree). Lineage: Eukaryota; Viridiplantae; Streptophyta; Magnoliopsida; Malpighiales; Euphorbiaceae. The record is from RNAcentral.
GGAAGAUUGUGUACACCAAGUUGGCAACACUACCAAAAUCCAACUUCAAGCAUAAAUAGAGCAUAAUACUUUAUUGCUUUAGCAAUAAGAUGGUAACAUAAAAAUAUCACAACAUGUAAUACAGCAUCAUGGAAGAAAUCAGAUAUCAGAGACCCAAAAUUAUAGUCACAUCUAUGCAAACAAGAUCCUAAAAACUAUAAGUUUUCUUGAUGACCUAUUAUCUUGUCAC